UCCCUGGCAGUCCAGUGGUUAGGACUUGGCAUUUUCACUGCUGUGGUCCAGGUUCAACCCCUGGUCCAGGAA
Molecule: transfer RNA, 72 nt
Filed under: Bos taurus (domestic cattle)
Lineage: Eukaryota; Metazoa; Chordata; Mammalia; Artiodactyla; Bovidae
Also listed under: 5 other names
Rfam family: tRNA
About the family: Transfer RNA (tRNA) molecules are approximately 80 nucleotides in length. Their secondary structure includes four short double-helical elements and three loops (D, anti-codon, and T loops).
Source: Rfam by way of RNAcentral